UCAGAUGACAAAAUGUCGGCAAAGUCCCAGACACAUCGGGUGUGAUGUUUCCUUGUGAGUAGACCUCUAGUAACUAAAACAACAGGUUCUUAAAGAAAAAUGGCCUACCUGAUUCCUUCAAGAUCACAACAAUUCAUAAUCCUGCCUAUCCCUGCCUCUUUCACUAUAUAAAAACACACAAAGACUUAAUAUGCAUCUGUCCAAUUGGUGAAAUGAGAUGUUCUCUCUUGUUUACUCUUGAGAAUGCUCCAGACAAUAAAUGUUCCAACAAGUUUAAAGGUUAUGAAUAUACAGUCAACUCACCAGAAAAAUUCUUAAUAAGAUUAAAGUUAUCUCCUGUUAAUAAUGAAAUUACAACUAUGUCCAAUUUUGAAAAAUUAUUCCCAUCUUUGAAGCUUCCAUCAACCUGUCUAGCUCUAUAUAGAUUCCUCCUACA
This 436-nucleotide long non-coding RNA is filed under the name Androctonus crassicauda. Lineage: Eukaryota; Metazoa; Arthropoda; Arachnida; Scorpiones; Buthidae. The record is from RNAcentral.